UACGGGGGGAGCAAGCGUUGUUCGGAUUUACUGGGCGUAAAGGGCGCGUAGGCGGUCGUGACAAGUCACUUGUGAAAUCUCCGGGCUUAACUCGGAACGGUCAAGUGAUACUGUCGGACUAGAGUACAGAAGGGGCAACUGGAAUUCUCGGUGUAGCGGUGAAAUGCGUAGAGAUCAGGAAGAACACCAGUGGCGAAGGCGCUCUGCUAGGCCGUAACUGACACUGAGGGACGAAAGCUAGGGGAGCGAAUGGG
Molecule: ribosomal RNA, 254 nt
Filed under: uncultured bacterium
Lineage: Bacteria
Description: partial 16S ribosomal RNA
Rfam family: Bacterial small subunit ribosomal RNA
Source: RNAcentral